UGUGUAGGCGGUUGCUUAAGUUUGGUGUGAAAUCUCCCGGCUCAACUGGGAGGGUGCGCCGAAUACUGAGUGACUCGAGUGCGGGAGAGGAGAGUGGAAUUCCUGGUGUAGCGGUGAAAUGCGUAGAUAUCAGGAGGAACACCGGUGGUGUAGACGGCUCUCUGGACCGUAACUGACGCUGAGACACGAAAGCGUGGGUAGCAAACAGGAUUAGAUACCCUGGUAGUCCACGCCCUAAACGAUGCAUAUUUGGUGUGGGCCGUUCAGUCGGUCCGUGCCGGAGCUAACGCGUUAAAUAUGCCGCCUGGGGAGUACAGUCGCAAGGCUAGAA
This 331-nucleotide ribosomal RNA is filed under the name uncultured bacterium. Its description in RNAcentral is "bacterial SSU rRNA". It matches the Rfam family "Bacterial small subunit ribosomal RNA", at positions 568 to 899 of the family's 1533-position model. The record is from RNAcentral.